Molecule: ribosomal RNA, 425 nt
Filed under: uncultured bacterium
Lineage: Bacteria
Description: partial 16S ribosomal RNA
Rfam family: Bacterial small subunit ribosomal RNA
Source: RNAcentral
GUGGGGAAUAUUGGACAAUGGGCGAAAGCCUGAUCCAGCCAUGCCGCGUGAGUGAUGAAGGCCCUAGGGUUGUAAAGCUCUUUCACCGGGGAAGAUAAUGACGGUACCCGGAGAAGAAGCCCCGGCUAACUUCGUGCCAGCAGCCGCGGUAAUACGAAGGGGGCUAGCGUUGUUCGGAAUUACUGGGCGUAAAGCGCACGUAGGCGGAUCGGUCAGUUAGGGGUGAAAUCCCAGGGCUCAACCCUGGAACUGCCUUUAAUACUGCCGGUCUAGAGUUCGAGAGAGGUGAGUGGAAUUCCGAGUGUAGAGGUGAAAUUCGUAGAUAUUCGGAGGAACACCAGUGGCGAAGGCGGCUCACUGGCUCGAUACUGACGCUGAGGUGCGAAAGCGUGGGGAGCAAACAGGAUUAGAAACCCCGGUAGUCC